This 513-nucleotide ribosomal RNA is filed under the name Zinaida pellucida. RNAcentral describes it as "partial 16S ribosomal RNA". The stretch from base 387 to 513 matches the Rfam family "Bacterial large subunit ribosomal RNA", at positions 2473 to 2600 of the family's 2925-position model. The record is from RNAcentral. Lineage: Eukaryota; Metazoa; Arthropoda; Insecta; Lepidoptera; Hesperiidae.
GUCUUUUUGAAUAAAAUUUAAAGUUGAAUCUGCCCACUGAUGAAUAAUUAAAGGGCUGCAGUAUAUUGACUGUACAAAGGUAGCAUAAUAAUUAGUCUUUUAAUUGAAGACUUGUAUGAAAGAUUUGAUGAAAUAUAAACUGUCUCUUUUUUAUAAUUAGAAUUUAAUUUUUCAGUAAAAAAGCUGAAAUUAAUUUAAAAGACGAGAAGACCCUAUAGAGUUUUAUAAUUGAGUUAAUUAUAUAUUUGUAUUUAAUUUUAAAGUUAAUUGAUUUAAUUAUUUUAUUGGGGUGAUAGAAAAAUUAAAUUAACUUUUUUUAAAUAUUAUACAUUAAUUAAUGAUUUUAUGAUCCAUAUUAUAUGAUUAAAAGAAAAAAUUACCUUAGGGAUAACAGCGUAAUUUUUUUUUUUAGUUCUUAUAAGAAAAAAAGUUUGCGACCUCGAUGUUGGAUUAAGAUAAAAUUUAAAUGCAGAAGUUUAAAAUUUUGAUCUGUUCGAUCAUUAAAAUCUUACA